This 117-nucleotide ribosomal RNA is filed under the name uncultured bacterium. RNAcentral's name for it is "partial 16S ribosomal RNA". It matches the Rfam family "Bacterial small subunit ribosomal RNA", at positions 355 to 489 of the family's 1533-position model. The record is from RNAcentral.
UGGGGAAUAUUGCACAAUGGGGGAAACCCUGAUGCAGCGACGCCGCGUGAGUGAAGAAGUAUUUCGGUAUGUAAAGCUCUAUCAGCAGGGAAGAAAAUGACGGUACCUGACUAAGAA